CAGCCAUCAUUUAAAGAAAGCGUAAUAGCUCACUGGUCGAGUCGGCCUGCGCGGAAGAUGUAACGGGGCUAAACCAUGCACCGAAGCUGCGGCAGCGAAGGUAUCACCCAAGACAACUUUACGGAGUUGACGAUUGACGGAGCGAAGCGACGUCAAAGCGUAUACAAAGUCGAGUUGGCUUAGGGAUACGUUCGUUGGGUAGGGGAGCGUUCUGUAAGCCUGUGAAGGUGGCCUGUGAGGGUUGCUGGAGGUAUCAGAAGUGCGAAUGCUGACAUAAGUAACGAUAAAGCGG
Molecule: ribosomal RNA, 292 nt
Filed under: Salmonella enterica subsp. enterica serovar Weltevreden
Lineage: Bacteria; Pseudomonadati; Pseudomonadota; Gammaproteobacteria; Enterobacterales; Enterobacteriaceae
Description: partial 23S ribosomal RNA
Rfam family: Bacterial large subunit ribosomal RNA
Source: RNAcentral